AGUGAACGCUGGCGGUAGGCCUAACACAUGCAAGUCGAACGGCAGCACAGUAAGAGCUUGCUCUUACGGGUGGCGAGUGGCGGACGGGUGAGGAAUACAUCGGAAUCUACUUUUCGUGGGGGAUAACGUAGGGAAACUUACGCUAAUACCGCAUACGACCUACGGGUGAAAGCAGGGGAUCUUCGGACCUUGCGCGAUUGACUGAGCCGAUGUCGGAUUAGCUCGGUGGCGGGGUAAAGGCCCACCAAGGCGACGACCCGUAGCUGGUCUGAGAGGAGGAUCAGCCACACUGGAACUGAGACACGGUCCAGACUCCUACGGGAGGCAGCAGUGGGGAAUAUUGGACAAUGGGCGCAAGCCUGAUCCAGCCAUGCCGCGUGGGUGAAGAAGGCCUUCGGGUUGUAAAGCCCUUUUGUUGGGAAAGAAAAGCAGCAGGUUAAUACCCCGCUGUUCUGACGGUACCCAAAGAAUAAGCACCGGCUAACUUCGUG
This 491-nucleotide ribosomal RNA is filed under the name uncultured bacterium. RNAcentral's name for it is "partial 16S ribosomal RNA". It matches the Rfam family "Bacterial small subunit ribosomal RNA", at positions 29 to 507 of the family's 1533-position model. The record is from RNAcentral.